This is a long non-coding RNA of Carya illinoinensis, 239 nucleotides long. RefSeq lists it as uncharacterized. Lineage: Eukaryota; Viridiplantae; Streptophyta; Magnoliopsida; Fagales; Juglandaceae. The record is from RefSeq and is a predicted model, not a curated record. The transcript has 3 exons.
AUUUAAUCCAAGAACUUCUUGACCCCAUCUGACUUGGCACCCCCUUAUUUUUCUUUUUUUCUUGCAGCCCUCAAACAAUCGAGGAAUUGAGGAAUCAAUUAAGGGUAUUGCAAGCUCAACUUGCAGGAGUACAAAAGAGACUGAGGAUCACUUUGAGGCCAAUCUCUUUGAAGUUGCUAUUUGUUGUGGAAAUUAAAUCACUGAUUUUGUAAUUCAUAUAUUGUAAUUUAGUAUUUCGU